RNAcentral lists this ribosomal RNA (582 nucleotides) under uncultured bacterium. RNAcentral's name for it is "bacterial SSU rRNA". The stretch from base 4 to 516 matches the Rfam family "Bacterial small subunit ribosomal RNA", at positions 31 to 542 of the family's 1533-position model. The record is from RNAcentral.
GACGAACGCUGGCGGCGUGCCUAACACAUGCAAGUCGAGCGGAGUCGAUCGACGGAAGCCUUCGGGCGGAGGAUGGUUGACUUAGCGGCGGAUGGGUGAGUAACGCGUGGGCAACCUGCCUCGAAGACCGGGAUAACAGUCCGAAAGGGCUGCUAAUACCGGAUGUGGUCAAGGAUCCGCAUGGAUUUUUGAUUAAAGGGGAAACCCGUUUCGAGAUGGGCCCGCGUCCUAUCAGCUAGUUGGUGAGGUAAAAGCUCACCAAGGCGACGACGGGUAGCCGGCCUGAGAGGGUGACCGGCCACACUGGAACUGAGACACGGUCCAGACUCCUACGGGGGCAGCAGUGGGGAAUCUUCCACAAUGGCGAAAGCCUGAUGGAGCGACGCCGCGUGAGCGAAAGAAGGCCCUGGUUGUAAGUACGUACUGUCUGUAGGGACGAAAGGGAAAGGUAGGAACGGGUAACCGUACCGGUAACGGGUAAACGGGACCGAACCGGGCGUAAACCGUUAAACCGUUAGGACCCGUACGACCGAACGCCGACCGGGUAAAAAUACCGUAAACGUCGUAACCUUAGUACGGAAC